GGUUGAUCCUGCCAGUAGUCAUACGCUCGUCUCAAAGAUUAAGCCAUGCAUGUCUAAGUAUAAACAAUUGUACAGUGAAACUGCGAAUGGCUCAUUAUAUCAGUUAUAGUCUACUUGAUAGUACCUUACUACUUGGAUAACCGUAGUAAUUCUAGAGCUAAUACAUGCACAAAGCCUGCCCCUUGUUGGAAUGGCUGCAUUUAUUAGAUUGAAACCAAUGCAGCUUUUGCUGGUAUUGAGUUGAGUCAUAGUAACUGUGCGGAUCGCGUUUUCGGACGCGAUAAAUCAAUUG
This 292-nucleotide ribosomal RNA is filed under the name uncultured eukaryote. RNAcentral's name for it is "partial 18S ribosomal RNA". It matches the Rfam family "Eukaryotic small subunit ribosomal RNA", at positions 6 to 301 of the family's 1831-position model. The record is from RNAcentral.